Callithrix jacchus (white-tufted-ear marmoset) is the source of this 1221-nucleotide long non-coding RNA. RefSeq lists it as uncharacterized. The record is from RefSeq and is a predicted model, not a curated record. Lineage: Eukaryota; Metazoa; Chordata; Mammalia; Primates; Cebidae.
UGGCGGUCAAAGUGGCCCGGACUCAGGAUGACAAUUGACGGGGAUCAAGGGAUUGCCCAUUCUGUGCCUGUAAGAACCGAUUCGUGCCAGAGAAACUCAUCAAGUGGAGGCGGAGAAUAAAGACCGUUCGGGGCUUGUCAAUGCGACCAUUGCUUUGAUGGGAGGCUCCUCAAGCACCUGCCGUCCAUCCUGGGUUCCUGCAACUCUGUCAUCACCUGAGCUUCAAGGAGCACAAUUCAUCUGGAAAGGAGAGGGUUAGAGAUUAUCUGCUCCAUCAUCCUCACAAAUUCUGGGGUCCAGAGGAGUGACUGGACCAAAAUCACCAAGCCAGGCACUGAGCUACAACUGGAAUUCAGCUCUCUCACCUGCCAGGCCAGGCCACCCCAUCCCACAGAUCACCACCUUCCCACACCUCACUAUCUGACCUCCUGAACCUGCCCAAAAGACCCUUACCCCUGAUCUCAAGGAUGGCAGCCUUUCAGAUCCCAUUGUCUUCACCUUCAGGUGAUCCCAGCUCCUAAGGCUUUAUGCAGGUGUUCCUUCCCCAGCUCCCCCAGCUUCCAUCCUGCCCACCUCUGCACAUCUCCAGCCUUCUCAGCCCAGCUCAGUUGAGCAAACUGUUAUUGACUGUCAGUUACGUACAGCAGAUGUUUUGCCUUUUCUAUGAAACUUCCCUGGCUACUCUUCCUCAGAAUGCCCCUCUCCGCUGAGACUCCUCUACCUCCCUUGCCCAUCACUUUCUGUUUGGAAACCUAUGCAUUAUUCAAGCCCCUGCUCACAUAACGUUUCUGUAAAGCUGUGCCAGGGUGGAAAAACACCAAGGGAGGAAAGUGACCCUGAUGGAGGAACUGACUGAAGUCCAGUGUGGCUGGAGCAGAAUGAGGGGGAGGAGAGGGGCAAAGGUCAAGUUUCAAACAGCCUUGUGGGCCACACAGGGAUUUGGGAUUUCAACCUGGAAGCAAUGGGAAGCAUUGAACCCUUGUCUAGACUGAAAUUCUGGAGAAUAGAAACUACAUGCUUUUCAUCUUUGUGUCCCUCUACUCCUGCCAAUGUCUGGCACACGAUGCUCAAGAACCUUUUGCUGAAACUAUGAACCGAUAACUCAAUAAACACAUACCACCCAGCCCUUCCUUAGCUCUUCAUGGUGGCUAACCAGGUUGUAAGGAACCAAGAAGACAGAAACCAAGUCAGUGUCUCGGAAUUCUCCACAGUACCUGCUUG